CUUCGCUGGUUGUAGCGUGGUACUGGUUUCGACAUUUGGAAGCCCCUCGUUUAGUUAUUUUGAAGUUCAGAUUCUACACCAGCUCACUUGUGUGAAUCGGAGCCUCUCUCUUCUUUCAAUGUAUUGGAUGUAAGGCAACGCGAGUGCCGCUCCUCUUUUUAGAUUUGAGCAACUUGGCAUAAUGGGUGCUGGAUGUGAUUCGACGGCUGUGUUUUAGCCAAGACACCCAAAUACCAAUACACCCGAAAGACUCAUGCUUUCCUUUUUUCAUUUUUUUCGUUUGGAUAUUUCCCCCAAAUAGCAGAGUCUUUCGGCGGAGGUUUUCUUGUUCUUGGAACCUCAAAAACCCGGCAAGCGGUUCGAUUUGAACUGCGCUCGGGAGGUUAAAGGUGAUCGCCCGAGAAUAUUUGAAUAUGAGACCGAUGUAGGGACAAGGGAACUUGGCAUGACUUGCGUGAUUAUUAACUUCGUUAAUAAUUACGCAGUUCCGGUCCUAUUGAUUAGUACGCUGAUCUGAGGACUAAAAAUUAUGUUCUUGCAUUUCAACGUGGACCGUGGAAGAGGUCGGAGUGGUGUUAUUUUCUUGAACCGCGAAUUUCACAAAAGCUGGAUAGUCGAUAGAUUUAGGCAAAGUUGAAGUUGUACCCUCCCGUGCAUCCGUUAAAUACAUCCGGAGGAAGCGCCGCUACUGACCCCACGGAGUCAACGUUGGAAUUGACCAAAAAUCCAGCCAAGGCUCAAACCUUUCCGCCUGGUUCGAAGACUGCGCUGCGCGAACAAUACUGGCAGCCGCAACAGGCGUAAACCGGAAGUUAGGACCGCUCAUCGCACGCCCAGCUAGGAGUAGAACCCGUCGACGUAGCGAAUCACAUAAAUCCAUGGUAGAAGCGCCGCUACUGACCCCACGGAGUCAACGUUGGAAUUGACCAAAAAUCCAGCCAAGGCUCAAACCUUUCCGCCUGGUUCGAAGACUGCGCUGCGCGAACAAUACUGGCAGCCGCAACAGGCGUAAACCGGAAGUUAGGACCGCUCAUCGCACGCCCAGCUAGGAGUAGAACCCGUCGACGUAGCGAAUCACAUAAAUCCAUGGUAGUGAGUACCUUUUUUCCUUAUCCAUUAUUAACAUGCGCAUGUAGGAUAAGUGAUAUUGAGCAAAACGCUAUAAAUAGCUACUAACCACGAAAGCCACACAAUUCAAAGCCAUACACACACAAAUAAUGCAUGCAGUGGAGAGCUCACUCCAUAUGACUGUGUAAUUUCAAUCGCUAUAAGCGAAGCCAUUCAUGAAUAGCCUAACGGAGUAAAUAGCAAGCGCGCCGUCUUCUCAACCUAGAUGUGAUGAGAUCGAGACUUGGGAGGAAAAUUAGAGUAGAGUAAUGAAAUUUGAUUAAUGUUCUUAGAGUAAAUAAAUUUUCUAUGUUGAUGGAUGUUCUUUCCUGAUUGACUAAAUGUUCAAUGUAGAAGAGAAGUGUUGAUGAAGCUAAUUGAUUUAAGUGAUUGAGAAUGUUGUGAGAGAUGUUUUGAUAUUUAAUGUAGUGUAAAAUAAACUUUUCCGUUCGAUUUAUAUGUUAAGGUCUAAGAAACAAAUGUGUAUUUACUGGCUCGCGGUGGCCUAAACACCGACGAACCCGUUCACUCUUCUUUUUGUGUUAAUUAGGUCACGAGUCAGGGUGGAGACUCCUUUUUUUGUUUACUUCCACUCUCACUCCUACGCUCCGAAGCGAGCUCUGAAGUUGAGGGGAAGAUCAUUAUUAGUAGGUCCAGUGAGGAGACCUCAGCAUAAGUGGUAGUCAGUGGGAUCGACCCAGACUUCCUUGUGUCUGCAUUACGUCUCGUGGACAAACGAUAUCGCGGGUUCUCCCGAGAGUGCAGGAAAAAAGUCGCGAAGCUAACCGGGUUGGUGAGGAGAAAAGGACAAACCCGCCCUCAGUGGGUGUCUCAUUGCCGGGCAAGGAAAAUAACACGGCGGUCGGUCUCCCUCACGGGAGUGGCGCUUAAGCCGACCGCUUAUCUGCGCAAAUUCCCCGGUAGCGACGGGCUCGCGCGCUCC
Long non-coding RNA from Toxorhynchites rutilus septentrionalis, 2050 nucleotides. RefSeq lists it as uncharacterized. The record is from RefSeq and is a predicted model, not a curated record. The transcript is spliced from 3 exons. Lineage: Eukaryota; Metazoa; Arthropoda; Insecta; Diptera; Culicidae.